UGGGGGAUAUUGCACAAUGGGGGAAACCCUGAUGCAGCGACGCCGCGUGAGGGAAGACGGUUUUCGGAUUGUAAACCUCUGUCUUUGGGGACGAACAAAUGACGGUACCCAAGGAGGAAGCCACGGCUAACUACGUGCC
Molecule: ribosomal RNA, 139 nt
Filed under: uncultured bacterium
Lineage: Bacteria
Description: partial 16S ribosomal RNA
Rfam family: Bacterial small subunit ribosomal RNA
Source: RNAcentral